RNAcentral lists this ribosomal RNA (451 nucleotides) under uncultured bacterium. RNAcentral's name for it is "bacterial SSU rRNA". It matches the Rfam family "Bacterial small subunit ribosomal RNA", at positions 354 to 796 of the family's 1533-position model. The record is from RNAcentral.
GUGGGGAAUUGUUCGCAAUGGGCGCAAGCCUGACGACGCAACGCCGCGUGGAGGAUGAAGGUCUUCGGAUUGUAAACUCCUGUUGGGUGGGACGAAUCCUUUCCGGGCUAACACCCCGGAGAAAUGACGGUACCACCUGAGGAAGCCCCGGCUAACUCUGUGCCAGCAGCCGCGGUAAUACAGAGGGGGCGAGCGUUGUUCGGAAUUACUGGGCGUAAAGGGCGCGUAGGCGGCCGACUAAGUCAGACGUGAAAUCCCCGAGCUCAACUCGGGAACUGCGUCUGAUACUGGUUGGCUGGAGUCCGGGAGAGGGAAGCGGAAUUCCAGGUGUAGCGGUGAAAUGCGUAGAUAUCUGGAGGAACACCGGUGGCGAAGGCGGCUUCCUGGACCGGUACUGACGCUGAGGCGCGAAAGCCAGGGGAGCAAACGGGAUUAGAAACCCUAGUAGUCC